Molecule: transfer RNA, 24 nt
Filed under: Pseudisothecium prolixum
Lineage: Eukaryota; Viridiplantae; Streptophyta; Bryopsida; Hypnales; Lembophyllaceae
Description: partial tRNA-Phe
Source: RNAcentral
AAAAAAGCCGGAAUAGCUCAGUCG